AAGAACUUUCUCUGGUUCAUUUGUCCACCCUUCUUCUCUCUCCCUGCACUAUUUAAUUCUGCUCAUUAACCACCUCCACGAGGACCACUCCACCAGCCACAUCCCAACAGAUGUUCCCAGCAGAUGCCCUGCUUCCAGGAGGCCUAACAGAUGUGGAAGGCAGCCUGGGAUGGAAAAAGGUUCUAAGGACUUUAGAGAGUCUCCAAAACAGGAUAUGUGUGGCAUACCUGAUGAUAUUACCUGCAGGCCCAGAGACGUGGGAGUCCCAGGGAGCCA
Molecule: long non-coding RNA, 276 nt
Organism: Lemur catta (Ring-tailed lemur)
Lineage: Eukaryota; Metazoa; Chordata; Mammalia; Primates; Lemuridae
Exons: 3
Source: RefSeq, a predicted model, not a curated record